AACGAACGCUGGCGGCAUGCCUAACACAUGCAAGUCGAACGAGACCUUCGGGUCUAGUGGCGUAAGGGUGCGUAACGCGUGGGAACCUGCCCUUAGGUUCGGAAUAACUCCCCGAAAGGGGUGCUAAUACCGGAUAAUGUCUUCGGACCAAAGAUUUAUCGCCUUUGGAUGGGCCCGCGUUGGAUUAGCUAGUUGGUAGGGUAAAAGCCUACCAAGGCGACGAUCCAUAGCUGGGCUGAGAGGAUGAUCAGCCACACUGGGACUGAGACACGGCCCAGACUCCUACGGGAGGCAGCAGUGGGGAAUAUUGGACAAUGGGCGAAAGCCUGAUCCAGCAAUGCCGCGUGAGUGAUGAAGGCCUUAGGGUUGUAAAGCUCUUUUAACCGGGAUGAUAAUGACAGUACCGGGAGAAUAAGCUCCGGCUAACUCCGUG
This 433-nucleotide ribosomal RNA is filed under the name uncultured bacterium. RNAcentral's name for it is "partial 16S ribosomal RNA". It matches the Rfam family "Bacterial small subunit ribosomal RNA", at positions 29 to 507 of the family's 1533-position model. The record is from RNAcentral.